GGUGCCAGCAGCCGCGGUAAUUCCAGCUCCAAUAGCGUAUAUUAAAGUUGUUGCAGUUAAAAAGCUCGUAGUUGGAUUUCUGUUGUAUAAUCUAUAAUAUUACUAAGGUAUAUAUUAUAUUAUCAACAUCCUUCCUAUUAUAUUUCUAAAUAUAUAGGAAACUUUACUUUGAGAAAAUUAGAGUGCUUAAAGCAGGCAACUGCCUUGAAUACUCCAGCAUGGAAUAAUAAGUAAGGACUUUUGUCUUUCUUAUUGGUUCUAGGACAAAAGUAAUGGUUAAUAGGGACAGUUGGGGGCAUUCGUAUUUAACAGCCAGAGGUGAAAUUCUUAGAUUUGUUAAAGACGAACUACUGCGAAAGCAUUUGCCAAGGAUGUUUUCAUUAAUCAAGAACGAAAGUUAGGGGAUCGAAGACGAUCAGAUACCGUCGUAGUCUUAACCAUAAACUAUGCCGACUAGAGAUUGGAGGUUGUUCCUUACUC
RNAcentral lists this ribosomal RNA (480 nucleotides) under Cryptosporidium muris. RNAcentral describes it as "SSU rRNA". It matches the Rfam family "Eukaryotic small subunit ribosomal RNA", at positions 563 to 1072 of the family's 1831-position model. The record is from RNAcentral. Lineage: Eukaryota; Apicomplexa; Conoidasida; Eucoccidiorida; Cryptosporidiidae.